This 755-nucleotide ribosomal RNA is filed under the name uncultured fungus. RNAcentral's name for it is "eukaryotic LSU rRNA". The stretch from base 189 to 342 matches the Rfam family "5.8S ribosomal RNA". Lineage: Eukaryota; Fungi. The record is from RNAcentral.
CCGGGCUGUCGCCGUCCUCAAGGACGUGCACGCCCGGANUGCUCUCUCACAAUCCAUCUCACCCCUUUGUGCAUCACCGCGUGGGACCCUCCUCUUUCCGGAGAAGGGGGGUUUCACGUUUCUACAAAAACGACCCAUUGAUGCAUGUGUAGAAUGUCUUACAUUUUGCGGUCACACGCAAUCAAUACAACUUUCAACAACGGAUCUCUUGGCUCUCGCAUCGAUGAAGAACGCAGCGAAAUGCGAUACGUAAUGUGAAUUGCAGAAUUCAGUGAAUCAUCGAAUCUUUGAACGCACCUUGCACCCCUUGGUAUUCCGAGGGGUGCACCCGUUUGAGUGUCGUGAACACCCUCAACCUUCCAUGGUUUAUCGAUCAGGAAGGCUUGGACUUUGGAUGUUGCUGGCCUCGUUUGAAGCCAGCUCCUCCUAAAUGAAUUAGUGGGGUCUGUCGUGCCGAUCCUCGACGUGAUAAGUACGCUUCUACGUCUCGGUGUUGGCCCGGAAUCCUGCUUCCAAUCGUCUUUGAAUGGAGACAAAUGGUUCGAGUUUGUGACUCGAGCUUUAUAAACCUUGACCUCAAAUCGGGUGANACUACCCGCUGAACUUAAGCAUAUCAAUAAGCGGANGANAAGAAACUAACAAGGAUUCCCCUAGUAACUGCGAGUGAAGCGGGAAAAGCUCAAAUUUAAAAUCUGGUGGUCUUUGGCCAUCCGAGUUGUAAUUUAGAGAAGCGUCUUCUGCGCUGGACCGUGUAC